GGGGGUGACCGGCUUUGACGGUCUGUUCCUUGAAAGACGUUCGACGCAGUGCACGCUCGUAUGACACUCCAAAUCCAACGAGCAACCAAACUUGCCAAGAACACUCUUGCAAGCGUGAAGUCUCCGUACUUCGGUAUGCGUGAUUUCGCGUUCGCGUACGCGACUGCCUAACGGCUUCUCGCCUGCGCGACGUUCACCCUCCCGAGUUUCUGCAGUCGGAGGACUGAGCGGAAUUAUCUGCGGAAUCGAUGUCCCGUAUCCCGGAGGGCACAUUUAAACAAGGGAUCGGGCAGGAAUGGUUUCGUCUGCGUUCCUCGCAUCCUGCCUUAGACACUAACGCCGACUACGCGUCGUAGACCCGCUUUCAUGGGCAGAUUCGGACCGGAGUUCAACUCUCCGCACCUCCACAA
Molecule: transfer-messenger RNA, 410 nt
Filed under: Patescibacteria group bacterium
Lineage: Bacteria
Also listed under: 1 other name
Rfam family: transfer-messenger RNA
About the family: Bacterial tmRNA, also known as 10Sa RNA or SsrA, is named for its dual tRNA and mRNA-like properties. Its role is to liberate the mRNA from a stalled ribosome.
Source: RNAcentral